GGAGCACAUAAAUCCCUGCCUGACUGGAAAUCCAGCCUGCAAAUGGUAGUGGAUUAAGGAAGCCAAAACCUCAGGCUCUUGGAGAAAGUGCUCACUUAUUGCAGUUAAAAUAUCUCUUCUUAGUAUGACCUCAGAAAGGUAGAGUUACAGACAGCGAGAGAGAGAGAGAGAAAGGUCUUCCUUCCGUUGGUUCACUCCCCAAAUGACCGCUAUGGCCAGCGCUGUGCCGAUCCGAAGCCAGGAGCCAGGUGCUUCCUCCGGGCCUCCCAUGCAGGUACAGGGGCCAGAGAACCUGGGCCAUCCUCCGCUGCCUUCCUGGGCCACAGCAGAGAGCUGGAAUGGAAGAGGAACAACCAGGACUAGAACCCGGUGCCCAUAUGGGAUGCCAGCGCCACAGGCGGAGGAUUAACCAAGUACCCUGUCCCUCACAGGACUCCAAGCCAGAUUCCCACCAGGCUCUUCCCUCAGCUUUACACCAGUGACGUGGGCUGCUGCAGUCUUGUCUCACCUUACUCCAAAGCUCUCUGCUGCUGGGGUCGUGAGUUGUGUAUAUCCACAUCCUCCAACACAGACUGUUUCCUGAUGUUACUGUCAUGGGCAAGUGAUGCAGGAAGAGAAACAUUGCUGAUCUGUGAAAUUGGACAAUAUAUUACAUCUGUCUUGGUAUUUAGACUACAGUAAGUACCAAGUUUAAUUGGGUUUAUGAAAUGACAUCUUGUUCAGGGCAAGGAUCAGUGUGGAAAAGAAGCUAUAAUGGAUGUUCAAUUAAAUGCCUAAGUUAAAGCUAAAUUACUACACACACGUCACUAAUUUCAGAACUACAACUCUGUAAUAAAUCACAAAUUGACCUCUUUGAGAUAAAUAUAGGAAAUACCUGGUGUGACAUUUUAUGGUGUUAAUUUUAAAAGCUUAAUCUGAUUUCUUUCCAAUUGUAUGUCCACAAAACUUCACUAGGAACUGUGUUUCUCAAUAUUUCUUGACAUUUUUUUCUUAAUAUGAGUUUAUGGAUGUCUGCAAAUAUAAUAUUAUGGGAAAUGCAAGAGCUUGUCUAAUGUUAGUAUCUGAAUCUUAGGGCUUGGCUAUCAUAGCACACAUUUUAUUAUUUUUUAAAAUAUUUAUUUAUUUAUUUGUUUGAAAGGCAGAGCGACAGUGAGAGAAAGAAGGAGAGACAGAGAGAUCUUCUAUCUUCUGGUUCACCCCUCAAAUGGCCACACUGCCCAGAGAUGUGCUAGUCCAAAGCCAGGAGCUAGGAACUUCUUCCAGGUCUCCCAUAUGGGUGCAGGGGCCCAACUACCUGAGCCGUCUUCCACAGCUUUCUCAGGCACAGCAGAUUGGAAGUGGAGGCAGCCAGGAUUUAAUCCUGUGCCCACAUGGGAUGCUGGCACAGCAGGCAGCAGUUUUACCCACCAAGCCACAGAGCCAGCCCCUACCCCGGUAGCACAUCUGAAGACACAAAAGUCACUUUCUCUGAUUACCUGGAAACUGUAGAUAUGCAAAUAAAGACCUCAUGGCAGUGGAAGUGCCCUACCAGGUCCAAUUUUCAUAAAGAAAUUUAAACAGCCAUCUUCAUUUGUAGAGCAGACUGUGUACUCCUGGAAUCUAUGACUAAUGAGCCACUUCUCAGAGAAUUGCCUUUCCUAAAUAAACAAGGUCUUUUGCACUGACCCAGGAAUCUGAGUUGUGGCUCAAAGACUAAUUGCGCCAAUUCUAAAAAGGGCACAUCUACAACAAUAUGAAAGAAUAUUCUCUCCAUCUCCAAAGUCAGAUGCUCAUUCAGAUGAAAUCCAGUUUAUUUAUCUGGCAUAUGUUUACUGUUUUCACUUUGCACUGUAAAGGAACAGAAAGACUCGACCUUUUAAGAAGUAAAAUAGAAAAAUCAGUUCUUUUUACUCUCUCGUCAAUAUAUAUAAAAACUCCUUUAUGAAUGAAUUCCAGAACUGAAUUUCCCUCUUGGUAAUUUGAUUUGAAAGAAAAUUAGAGCAAAUCAUUAUAAGCAGAAUGCUUUCAAUUAAGACAUAAUUAAUUAAAUGUGCUAUUCCAGAAUACAUUUGGAUGUACAAUUAGAUGGCUGUUUAUACUGAAUAUCUAAUUUUACACCUAAAUUGCCAGCCCCUCUCCUGGUCUUGAGCUAUGUACUCACAAGUGGCAACAAGGCUGGCCUUACCUCAGGUGGACAAGUGUUCCCUGCAGCGAUUCUGUGAACAGGUCAGAGUUUCUGUCUAUAUACAUGUCAAAGGCAACAGGUUUGAAGGGACUUCUAAUUUUAACCAGAAUUUUGUUUGAUGUUAAAUAAGUGAUAUUAAAUCCUCUUUUGUAUUUUUGCAAUUAGUAACUCUUUCAUAUUUUCUUCAUAUCUGAAGAAAAGCCAAUAACCAAAAUGUUAAAUGUCUAGGAAAGUUAUAGGUAUUUGAAUACUUUACUCAGGAAUUAUUUAAUAUUUAAUUUCUAAUUUUCUUUAAGUUAUAGAUACAAAUGUCUGAUACUCAUAUUUUGCUAUUGGUGUUUGUGGGUUAAAUAUAUUCUCAAAGUAACCACAACAGUUUAAUUUUAUUGUCUCAGAGGUAGAAGAGUUGAUUUAGCAAGUUUGUAGCUAUGUGUUCAUGUUGUUCUAAAAUAUGAAGGAAUUCAUUUAUAUGAGUAAGACAAUUCACAGCUUUAGAGAUUGGCUGCAGUCAAUAUUUCCCUUCUAUGUGCAAGGUUGUUUCAGGUUUUCUAAAUACUUGAAAAAUUUGUAAAGUGAUUUCAAGGAUUCUAAAAAGUGUGUGGUUGUUCUUAAAAGUGAGAAGCUUUUGUUGACUGCCUGCCAUGUGCCAGAAGAUGCACCCGGUAUUCUCAUGUGUUGUGUCUACAGCUGUCAGUCCUCAGCCAGUAACCUCUCAACUGCAAUGCUGAGGCCAGAAAUCCUCGAGGCAGCACACUGUUGUGUGAGUGCUGUUGCACAGGGCAUGAUGGGAAAGCCCCUUGCCUGAGUUACCGCCCAGUCUGAACUACACCUGUUAGCAUUUUAGCCCAUUGAGUCAGCCCAAUGUGCAUCAGAGGACAGAGCAGUCACCUUUUGAUUCCUGAAAUUUUACCAUUAGUGAGUAUGCUGCCUAGUUUUCUUCAAGAAUUGUGGAUACUCUGUGUCAAAGGUAAAACAGGAGGCUAAAGCAUAUGGGGAAAAACAGAUUCAAUAAAGAGAUUGUCAGUGCUAAAAUCCAUUUCCUAUUGCUAAAAACAGUGGCACACACUGGGUAAGUUAUAAAGAAUUGUUUUCAUUUUGCUCCAUGAUUCUGGUUCAAAGUGAAGGGAGCAUCACAUUGCCAGAGGUAGUAAGAGACUUUGCUGCCCCACUCAAGAUAACCCAUUUACCUUUUAACCUAUUCAUGAGCACAGGGCCCUAAUCACUUCUCCAAGUCCUACGUGGUCCUACCUCAUAAUACUUCAUAAUGUGGAUGAAAUUUCAAUGGGGAUUUUGAAGUAGAUAAACCACAGCAACACCCCAGAUGACUUAGGGAUGGCUCGGUUUUCCUUUUCUAGUACAAUUCUCUGAUCCAGUGUGCUAUGACUUUUCAAAGUUAACAGAAGCAAGAGAACUACUGGGAAAAUUAGAUAAUGGGAGCUCAUUGUUAGCAAUCUUUAACUAGGGAGCCCAAAACAUGAUUCUCAACUUUGACUAUUCCUUGGAAACACCUGGGGAAUUUUUUUUUUUUAAAUUGAUGCCUGGGCUCCAGAUUAUGCUGAUUUAAUAAAAUUAUUUAUUUACUUAUUUUCAUUUUGCUUAAAAGGCAGAACAUCAGAAACAGAAAGAAACUGACAGCAAGAUUUUCCACCUGCUGGUUUACUCCCCGAACGCCUACCAAGGGAGCAUAAAACUCAAUCUGGAUCUCCAAUACGGGUGACAGUGGCUCGAAAACUUAAGCCAUCAUCUGCUGCUUUUCAGGGUGUGCGUUAGUAGGAAGCUGGAUUAGAAGCAGAAGAACCAGGACUCGAAUACAAGCAGUCUGAUUUAGGAUGCAGGCAUCCCAAGCAGCAACUCAGCUGCUCUGCCAAAUGCCCAUCCCUAUUCUGACACAUUAAUCACGGUUAACAGCCACUGCUCCAAAGAGUUCAAUACAAUCAAAUGAAUGUUUGCCAAGUGCCCACAAGAUUUAGGAAGACCCAACACAGAGCAAAAGCGUAGGAAGCACAGUAGCUUCCUGCUUCACCAUUCAAUUCCAACUCCAUGGAUUUUCUUACUUCCAGCACCCACCUUUCCCUCAAGCAACCUGUGCAGAGAGCUCUUAGGUCUCUUCCUGGAAUUGUUGGAUGCACUUAAUUCUCGUGACAUCUUGGGAAGAAGGGGUGUCGGGUUCCACCUACAAGGUAAAGGCUGAAAUCCUACCUAGGACACUGCACUGGGCAAAUGCCUGUCAAAUUUGAAUACAUGGUUAGCAACCCUGACAUCCCUGUUUUAAUACACACUGCUGGGCCUCACCCCACUUUCUGCUUCAUCAGGUCUGAGCUGGGGCUUAAUAAUUUGCAGGUCUAGCAAACUGCCAGGUGAUACUGAUAUUGCCGGCUACAGACCACACUUGGAAUCAUUACCUCAAGGUGUGGACAAUGAAAUUAGAUAGCAGCAAUCCAUCCUUAAUGAGACUGCUAGAGGUGUUGCACUAGCGACUCUUUCACCAUUAUAAUGAUAAGAAUCCUGUGAGUAAAAUAUUUUAAAAGAAAAAUGUAGUACAGUCCAGAAUGUCUGAGAAGAAUACAUAAUUCAGCAGUCUCAAGGAGGAAGAGACAAGAGAGGAUGAACAAUAAUGGAAAGACCAUGGGCCUCAGGGACAGGGGUAGCACCUGGAUCUGAGAUGAUCAGGGAGCACUUGAAUAUUUGAGCCUAAAAGCAAAGCUCAAAGUUUGAAAGCCUAGCAAGUAGAGGGCAAUGGUGUUUAUGCUAAUUAAGCACCGAAAACUAUAUUUUCCUAUUGGGCUGAAAUGUGUGCAAGAGAUGUGUGCAUUGGCUCCCUUGUUUCUAAUCAUAAAUCUUUAAUAGAUCCAGAAAGGGUCUGAUGGUGUCAAGGGGAUGAUGAGUGGGGAUUCCAUCUAAGUCUCUGUGGUUAAUCAGUUUUAGCUGGUUAGGACCAGUUAGGAUAGACCAUAACAUUUAAAUUUGCUGUUUCCUAAACAAGUGCUACUGCAAAUGAAAAAUCUCCUUUUGAUAAAAAAGAAAACCCAGAAGAGGCAAUGAGAGUUAUGUCUCAAAAGCAAUGCUGGAACAGGAAUUGACAAAGGAUUGAGCAGAGCCCCCUGGCCUGGGAGAUUUGUGAUAUAAGUAUUCUGAAAUUAGAGAUAGUGAGACCCUUGGGGGAAUUGUUGAUCACAUCAGACUGACUUUGGUGAAAGAAAAUAUUGUGUGUCUAAAAGGAUAAAUAAAGAUAUUUCUUCUGUGCAGAAUUUAAAACCUGUGACUUCACUUGAAGACUUUGGUGUAGGUGAUGACUUCUUGAAUAAAACCCCAAAGCACAAGCAACAACAGCGAAACUAGACAAAUGGGAUUAUGCCAAACUCAGAAACUGCACAUCAAAGGAAAUAAGAGUGAAAAAAUAUCUGACACAAUGGGAAAAAUAUUUGCAGGCUACUUAUCCAACAAAGCAUCAAAAUUCAGAAUGUAUCAACAACUCAAAAAAACUCAACAACAAAAAACAGUACAGUUAAGAAAUGGGCAAAAGACCUGAAUGACAGUUCUCAAAAGAAGAAAUACAAAUGGCAAGCAUUUAUAUGAAAAAAAAUGCUUAAUAUCACUAGCCAUCAAGGAAAUGCAAAUCAAAGCCCAGAGAUAUCAGUCACCCCUGUCAGAAUGGCUAUUUCCCAAAAGACAGAGAGCAACAAAUGCUAGCAAGGAUGUGGAGAAAUGAGAAUUUUUAUACCCUCUUGGUGGGCAUGUUAAUUAGUUUACCCACUGUGGAAAGCAGUAUGGAAAUGUCUUUGAAAACUAGAAAUAGUCUUGUUGUAUGGUCAGCAAUCUCACUACUGGGUAUAAACCCAAAAGGCAUGAACAUAUUGUAUCAAAAAGAUACCUGCACCAUCAUAUUUAUAGCAGCGCUGUUCACAGUAGCCAAAAUGUGAAUCAUUCAAUAUAUCAAUUAUCAGAUGGAUAAGGAAAAUACACACACACACAGGAAUAUUAUUCAGCUGUAAAGAAGGGUGAAAUUCUAUAAAUUGCAUCAAAAUGAUUGCAGCUGGGGACAUCAUGUUGAAGAAAAUAAGAUACACAGAAAAACAAAUAUCACAUGUUCUCACUUACAUGUGGUAGCUAAAUUUUUUUAAAUCAAUGAAAAAGAAGAAAAUACCUGCGUGUAUCAGUUUUGCUAGGAAUAGUGUUUUGCCAAACUUUAAAUUUUUUUGGCAAAUAAAUUGUGAAGAAUCAUAUAUUAUAGUUUGAAUUAUUUUGUGACUUUUAAGAUAGUGAAGUGGAACCUCUUUUCAUUUGAUUAUUGUUUAUAAGUCUUGCCUAUUUUCCUAUUUUCCUGCUGAACUCUGGUCUUUUUACUUUGUUGAACUCUAUUUAGUGAAACCAAUGAGACUUCAACUGUAAUGUAAAUUAAAAACAUGUAAUCUCAAAACAAACAAAACAAAAACCUCUUCAGGUCUGUAGUUCUGCCCCGGUGUAUUUCAUUAAACAAGUUCCCCAACUGUUGAGCAUGCGCAGCGUCAGAGAUGACACAGCCAAUCAGAAUCAUUCCUAGCAGGGCAAUCACUUGAUGUUUCGCAGGUGCUGGGAGUCAGUUCUGAAGCUGCUUCAUUUUCUUCAGGUCUGAUCCUCCAGGCAGCAAGGAGUCCCGUCACCUCCCUGGUGCUCCGGCCUCCUGGGAUACCUCUGUCCUCUUGUGCGAGAUCCUGGUAUUCUUGUGACCUUGCACUCGCAAUAACCGUCCUCACGUGGGUUACACUUUACCAAAUGUUUCCAGGAUUCUGGGCCUUUGGUUUUCUUCAUAUUCUUGGUUUAUUUUUCAAUUAUAUCUAUCGCUUUUGAAAGUAUACAUUUGAAGAUAUUACGUAGAUUAAUCCUUCUUUCAUUUUUCUUAUAAGAUUUUGUUUCCUAGUCUGAAUUUUGUCCUUUACAAUUGUUUCCUAUGUUUCUUGCUGGUACACAGUAACCCACUUGCUUGUGUACAUUCCUCUUGUACCCAGUUGUUCUUAUUCUUGGUUUGGAUUUGGUUUUGGAUUAUGUUGGUUUUUUUUUUUUAUGUAAUAAUGUUACCCAUGUAUAUGUAUAUUGAGUUUUGUUGCUUGCUUAAAAGUUUAGGCUUAUAUGUAAAUUGCCAGUUGUCUAAUUUCCCUGCCUACACCUGCAGUAAAAUGUUGACUAGAGAAGGUGAGAUGAGGUAGCCUCACCUGUCUACUCAGGAAAGAAAUUUUUUAAUGUUCUGUGUUAAUUAUGCUGUAUUUUAUAGGCUCAUUGUGGACCAUCUAAAUUAUAAUAAGGAAAUUGAUUUUUUUACUAGUCUGUUAACAGCUUGUUUUUAUGGCUAGAUGCUGAAUUUUAUUAAAUGUUUUUUAACACUUAAUCCAAAAAUCAAAAUAAAAGAUGUGACUAUAGGCUGGCAGGUAUAAUCACACACACACACAAAAUGAUGGUUGUAUCCCAAGUGGGUGGUAGAUUUCAAUGUAGUUAGAAAGGAUAAAUAAUCGGGGACCAGUGUUGUGGCAUAGGGGUUAAGCUGCUGCCUGAAACACCAGCAUUCCAUAUGGGUACCGGUUCAUCUCCUGGCUGGUCCACUUCAGAUCCAGCUCCCUGCAAAUGUCCUGGGAAAGCAGCAGAAGAUGGCCCAGGUGCUUGGGUGUGUGCUGACCACCUGGGGGACCCAGAUGAAGCUCUAGCCUCCUGACUUUGGCCUUGGCCCAGCCCUGGCUGUUGCAGCCUCUUGGGGUGUAACCCAGGGAUGGAAGAUGUGCCUCUCCUUUUCUAUCUGUAACUCUGCCUUUCAAAUAAAUAAAUCCCAAAAAAAUAAGUACAUGGAACUAUGUUCAAGAAAUUUUUGAGACACAUGAUGUGACUUUUUACUCUUACAUGUACACCUGAAAGUGCACACACACAGUUAUCCAGGAAUUUUUCCACCUAUAUAUAUAUA
This is a non-coding RNA of Oryctolagus cuniculus (rabbit), 8090 nucleotides long. NCBI's taxonomy places the organism in Eukaryota, Metazoa, Chordata, Mammalia, Lagomorpha, Leporidae. The record is from RefSeq and is a predicted model, not a curated record.